Molecule: long non-coding RNA, 771 nt
Organism: Numida meleagris (helmeted guineafowl)
Lineage: Eukaryota; Metazoa; Chordata; Aves; Galliformes; Numididae
Exons: 3
Source: RefSeq, a predicted model, not a curated record
AGCAAACCAGAUGAAUUUAAGGUGUUUUCUGAAGGACAGUCAGAGUAGGCAAGGUCAUCAACUAACAUCUUAAUCAUUCUCUGCUGUUAAUAUCCAGAGGACUAUAAACACUUCAGUUACAUCAGUAUUGCACACUGGAGCUCUGAUAUUUCUGUAUUAUGUCAGUAGAGACAAUGUAACAUUGGAAUCAGAAGCACCACAGCUGCUCAGGCAAGGAAAAAUUCUGUUUAAGUAGACACAUCAACCUUUUCAUUAUUUGCCAGAUGAAAAUUUCAGCAAAGAAAUCAGCAAGCACACAUGUUGUAUUCAGAGAUGAGGGGCCUGUGGGCUCUACCCAGACACAGAAUGAGAAAAGCUGUAUUUGGCUGGCAAAAAAAUCCAGCUACUCAUGCAUCUAUUCUUGGACAACGGCCAAACGAGGUUCAACUGAAUAAGAUGAGGACAAAGAUACUGCACGUCUGCUGAGAGUUCUCUGGAUUUCAAAACAUUUGUGCCCUAGGGUCUUUGAAGUGUUCUCUUGCAGAAGUCAGUGCUAACCUAAAACACCUAAAAAUAGGAAUUUCAUAAAGAUUCCUCAUAAAUACAAUUUACCUUGCCUACAAGACUUUAUUUGGUUCUAUAUAUAAGCUGUGGAAGGAGCAGAGCUUCUUGGUUAGAAAUGAAUUAUUUGCACAGCACAUGAUCUAGUCAGAUGUUGUUUGAACUGAUACCACCACUGAUAAACUUCAGUGAAAAGUUUGGAUGAAAACGAGUUUUGUUUCUUUCUGUAUC